Molecule: non-coding RNA, 26 nt
Filed under: Cricetulus griseus (Chinese hamster)
Lineage: Eukaryota; Metazoa; Chordata; Mammalia; Rodentia; Cricetidae
Source: RNAcentral
AUAAUGGGGUCCAAAACUAGCACUAC